CACUCAGCUCAUCUCUGGACCCUCUGCCACAGGGCUACUUGGCUAUAGGCGGCUUGCCUGGCACCAGGGUCCCCUGGGUCUAGAGAAGGAUGCCUGUCUGCUGACUGUCCUUGGUGAGUAGGGGGCAGGCCACCACGGAGGGAGCGGUCGCAAGGUGUCCUCCGUAGCAGAGCACAGUUGUGUCAGGGCCAGGGGACCCUUGGUUUUCCACAGGACAAAACAGCUGUCCUGGGCUGGCACAGGAGAGAGGCCUGUCUGGGCCCAGAGGUGGCAGAGCCCUCGUCCUGCUGUCAGGAGGCAGCAACCUGCACAGGAAAGCAGCCGGUGAGGGAGGAGGUGAGGUGCAGGAUGGGCUGCCGGGGGGGGGGGGGGCUAUUGCCUGUGGAGGCAGCGAAACCACCAGGCAGCACCUCGCCCUGC
Molecule: long non-coding RNA, 420 nt
Filed under: Marmota monax (woodchuck)
Lineage: Eukaryota; Metazoa; Chordata; Mammalia; Rodentia; Sciuridae
Source: RNAcentral